CCCCUAGUGGUCUAGUUGUUAGGACAUGGCACUUUGGCUGCCAUGGCCCAGGUUCAAUCUCUGGUCUGGGAA
Molecule: transfer RNA, 72 nt
Filed under: Bos taurus (domestic cattle)
Lineage: Eukaryota; Metazoa; Chordata; Mammalia; Artiodactyla; Bovidae
Also listed under: 4 other names
Rfam family: tRNA
About the family: Transfer RNA (tRNA) molecules are approximately 80 nucleotides in length. Their secondary structure includes four short double-helical elements and three loops (D, anti-codon, and T loops). Further hydrogen bonds mediate the characteristic L-shaped molecular structure. tRNAs have two regions of fundamental functional importance: the anti-codon, which is responsible for specific mRNA codon recognition, and the 3' end, to which the tRNAs corresponding amino acid is attached (by aminoacyl-tRNA synthetases). tRNAs cope with the degeneracy of the genetic code in two manners: having more than one tRNA (with a specific anti-codon) for a particular amino acid; and 'wobble' base-pairing, i.e. permitting non-standard base-pairing at the 3rd anti-codon position.
Source: Rfam by way of RNAcentral